GCACACUUCUGGGGUUAAGCUGUGGUGCCAUAGCACAUUGCUAGUGUGUAACUGGGGCCGCCUGCCCUUCACCGAGGGCCCUUUAAACCACUAGCUACAGGC
Molecule: small nucleolar RNA, 102 nt
Organism: Grammomys surdaster
Lineage: Eukaryota; Metazoa; Chordata; Mammalia; Rodentia; Muridae
Source: RefSeq, a predicted model, not a curated record